CCACUCCUACGGGAGGCAGCAGUGGGGAAUAUUGCACAAUGGGGGAAACCCUGAUGCAGCGACGCCGCGUGAGUGAAGAAGUAAUUCGUUAUGUAAAGCUCUAUCAGCAGGGAAGAAAAUGACGGUACCUGAGUAAGAAGCCCCGGCUAACUACGUGCCAGCAGCCGCGGUAAUACGUAGGGGGCAAGCGUUAUCCGGAUUUACUGGGUGUAAAGGGAGCGUAGACGGCGGUGCAAGCCAGAUGUGAAAGCCCGGGGCCCAACCCCGGGACUGCAUUUGGAACUGUGCUGCUAGAGUGUCGGAGG
Molecule: ribosomal RNA, 305 nt
Filed under: uncultured bacterium
Lineage: Bacteria
Description: bacterial SSU rRNA
Rfam family: Bacterial small subunit ribosomal RNA
Source: RNAcentral